GACAGAGGUGCCGAGCGUUAGGCGGAAUCACUGGGCUUAAAGCGUGUGUAGGCGGGUCGUUAAGUGUCUUGUGAAAUCCCACCGCUCAACGGUGGAACUGCUGGGCAUACUGGCGAUCUUGAGCCACCUAGGGGCAGACGGAACAAGCGGUGGAGCGGUGAAAUGCGUAGAUAUCGCUUGGAACGCCGACGGUGAAAACAGUCUGCUGGGGGUGUGCUGACGCUGGAGACACGAAAGCCAGGGGAGCGAACGGG
This 254-nucleotide ribosomal RNA is filed under the name uncultured bacterium. Its description in RNAcentral is "partial 16S ribosomal RNA". It matches the Rfam family "Bacterial small subunit ribosomal RNA", at positions 524 to 776 of the family's 1533-position model. The record is from RNAcentral.